Molecule: long non-coding RNA, 2311 nt
Organism: Rhododendron vialii
Lineage: Eukaryota; Viridiplantae; Streptophyta; Magnoliopsida; Ericales; Ericaceae
Exons: 2
Source: RefSeq, a predicted model, not a curated record
AUCCAUCAUAAAGAUAAGAUUAUUGCAAAUCUGCUUGAUAAGCAGCCUCACAAGGAAUAGUAAAGAAACUUCAGCAGACAAUUCUUAGAUGGAUACUCCUAAUUUUAUGUCUCGAAUAAGACUACAAAGAGUUGUGUCGACUUCUUUGCCUCUUGCUAGAUCACAAAUAACAACAUUUGGUUCUGCCUAUGCCAUAUGAAAUGCCAAAUUUGUAUCACGCCUAAUUGGUUCACUAUGAAUUUUUUGGGUACAUGUAUAUUUCAUUAAAAAGCUCGACAAUAACGUACAACAAAACCAAGGGUCAUACCCCAGCAUACAAGAAGGAACCAUAAUUACCAGAGCAUGAAAACAAAGAGAGCUAAAUUUUCUUAGUAGCCAUUACCUAACCAUAAACUUAUCAAUUAUCCUUAUAUUUGUUGUUUGUGGUACUCACGUAAUAAAUUAAGAAAUUAAAAAGUCUCUACUUUCUGGAAAAUGAAAGAUACUAACAGAAACCUGAGGAGAUAGUGUUCUUUGAAUGCCGGUCAAUUCAUGUAAAAUGAACUAGGAAUAUAUACUAGCUCUACUCUAAAAUAAAAAAAAACGUGGGUACAACCUGUAAUCAAGAAAGCAGUAAAGUUAAGAAGAUACAAUUGUUGUUUUUUUUAGGAUAAUAUGUCUUGGCUAUAACAAAGAAAGAAACUUACUCCAUCUCCAUUUCAAGAAACAAUCUAGACAAUUUCUACUUAACUCAACUCUAAUACUUUUGAAAGCAAGAUGAUGCAGUGAGGAGUAAAACAUAAGAACUAGCAGCUUUACUUCUGUGUAGGGGUUACCAGACUCAAAGGAGAAGUGAAUUAAAUCUAAAACCGAAGGAACUGAAGCAGAAUAUAAACACGAAAUGAGUCUAAGGGAUACAUUUACCUGGAGCUGCAUAACCGGAUGACCCACGUAAGCCAAUAGAACUUGAUUGAUUUGCAGAAGCAAUACAUGUCGCAUCUACAAGGAAUCUAGCUAACCCAAAAUCACCUACAUGUCCAACCAUUUCAUCGUCAAGAAGAACGUUGCUCGGUUUCAAGUCACAGUGAACUAUUGGUUCUGAGCAAUGGUGGUGAAGAUAAAAAAGUGCAGAAGCAACAUCAAACGCAAUAUUUAACCUCUUUAGAAGGUUUAAACUCUGCGACUUAUUGUGUGCAUCAUCUUCUUUCUCAUUUGGAUGCAACCACUCCUCUAGGCUCCCAUUAACCAUGAAAUCGUAAACCAGAGCCUUGAACUCGUCACCUUUAUAGUCAACACUUGAACAUGCAGUGAGGACAUGUACAAGAUUCCGAUGUCUGAUGCUCCUUAAGGCCUUACACUCGGCAAUGAAGCUCUUGGCAGCUCCCCCGGAUUGAAGGUUUAACACCUUCACAGCGACUAGUUUUUCACUUUGAUCAAGAUCAACAAUUCCUUUGUACACCGAACCAAAACUACCCAUGCCGAUUAGAUUGGCUGAAGAGAAUCCGUUGGUCGCUUUUAAUAGACUCCGAUAAGACAACAUAGGAAACGAGUGGCCAAAAAAGCUGAAAGAUCGUACCUCUGUUUUCUUUUUAAACCAACGAAGAUACACGAAAUAUAUCAUUAAAAGUAGACAUACAAGCCCAAAGGACGAUGGGAGUACCAACUUCACAACUUGAGUAAAUUUCUUCCUUGUGAAUCCCUUGGAUUGGCAAUUGCGUAGUUUUAAAUCAGGUAUACCACCACAAAGCUUCUUGUUUCCCUCAACAGAAAUAGCUGCCGCAAUCGUAAAUAUGCCUUGUUUUGGUACUUCUCCAUCAAAAUCAUUGAAUGAUAUAUUUAGUUUUUGUAAGAAAUGAAAGCCCUCUAAAUAGUCUGGGAUUUUUCCCGAGAAAUCAUUUAUAGAAAUGUCUAGAUCCUCCAAGCCUCUCAAUUGGCUCAAAGUUGAUGGAAGGACUCCCCAGAACUUGUUGCCCUUCAAAUUAAGAGAUGCCAAUUUCACACAACUACCAAGGCUGCUUGGAAUAUUACCAACCAACAAAUUCUCAGAAACAUUUAGUGUUACAAGAUUUUUUAAAACCCCGAUUUCCAAGGGGAUGACACCAGUCAAGUUGUUAUGAGAUAGGUCUAGAGAAAACAAUGAUGAGAGACUAAUAACUCCUUUGGGUAUGGUGCCACUAAGACUAUUUUUGGCGAGCGUAAGCUCCAUCAACAUCUGGCAUUUGCUCAAACUCGACGGGAUGCUUCCCUGAAGAUUAUUUUCGGAUAGAUCUAGAGUUAGUAACAAGGAUAAGUUUCCGAAAGAGGAUGGGAUGUCACCAUAGAAUCUAUUACC